CGGCCCUCUCACCUGGCGGACCCACGAGGCAGGCGAGCCGGCCCCCUUCCAGCUGGGGAUGCAGGCGGCCGCACACGCACAUGGCCACAGCCGGCCGAGGGUCCCUCGCCCUCGAGGGGAGAAAGCGGGGAGAGAGCGCGAGCAGACCUGGAACUAGUGCGGUCCAGGACGCCCAACCAGCUCACAUGAGGCGGGGGCGGGGCAGCGAACGGCCACACCCCCGCCCCUCCCCACAGACGGGUAAACGGAAGCAUCACCCAACUAAUGAGUGUCUGAGGCUAGAUCUGAACUCAGAUCUUCCUGACUCCAGGCCCAGCUCUGGGCCACCAAGUCAAAACUUGUUGAAUGGAAUUGAUCUCACUUGAAUGAUUAAUGCAUCACCAUGCUGACAAACCUUUGGAAAAGUAGGUAAGCUUGCUAGCCAGAAGAAAGCUGAAGUUAGUGCAGGGGAGGUGUUUAAGUUUUGUCUGUUGCUGGUGAAUUUUUGGUGUUGUGGUGGUUUUUGUUUGCAGAGGUUGAAGGCACGUGGCUUAUCUGUGAUCAUGAAAAUCCUCCCUUUACUUCCGAUGCCUCCUCCCUUUUUCUGAGAGCACUGAGAUCCCCAAGGCUAUCAGAGGAACCCAGGCUCCGGUCAGUAUUCUUAAGCCAGAAGGGCUUUGUUUCCGGACCUGGGGACAGACUGCAUAUCUGUCUUGCCUUGACCAAAGGAAUUGAGCCAAAGGUUUAUCUCCAAAAGGGAUUGUCACCAAGCUUCCCCAGGACACCCAAAUCCAGCUGCAAGUGGGGAGUAUGCUGCUCUGCUGAGAAGAGGCCUGGAACAGUGGAAAGUCUCUGGACCAGACUGCCUGCAAGGCAGGGAAGAGGAGACUCCUGUUUCUUCGCUCUGUGGACAAAUGCCUUCAUAUCUCUGACCCUCACUUUCCUCAAAUGUAAAAUGGGGAUAAAAAUUCCUGCCCUCCAGAGCAGAAACGUUAGGGAGCUCAAGAUAAGACUUGAUUCAAAACACUAUAUAAAGUCCCCUUACAACAUUAGAAUGAGAAAGAAAUAUAAAGCAUCAGACUGGAGAACUGGAAAGGCCUUUAGAAGAUAGAAUUUCAGAGCCAGAAAGGACUUAGAACACAGAACUUGGAAAGUUUGAGCAGGGAAGGACUUUAGAAUAUAUAACCUAGAAUAUAAUAGGAAUAGAACCUUGGAACCUAAAAUGUCAGAGAUGGAAGUGACUUUAUGGUAGAAGUAGAUAGAAUAAUGGGCCUGUAGACCUGAGUUCAAAUCCAGCCUCAGGCAAUUACUAGCUGUAGCAAAUCACUUACCUCC
This is a non-coding RNA of Phascolarctos cinereus (koala), 1314 nucleotides long. Lineage: Eukaryota; Metazoa; Chordata; Mammalia; Diprotodontia; Phascolarctidae. The record is from RefSeq and is a predicted model, not a curated record.